AGAUUAAACUAAAGAGUUUGAUCCUGGCUCAGAUUGAACGCUGGCGGCAUGCCUUACACAUGCAAGUCGAACGGCAGCGCGGGGCAACCUGGCGGCGAGUGGCGAACGGGUGAGUAAUAUA
RNAcentral lists this ribosomal RNA (121 nucleotides) under Duganella guangzhouensis. Its description in RNAcentral is "partial 16S ribosomal RNA". It matches the Rfam family "Bacterial small subunit ribosomal RNA", at positions 1 to 117 of the family's 1533-position model. Lineage: Bacteria; Pseudomonadati; Pseudomonadota; Betaproteobacteria; Burkholderiales; Oxalobacteraceae. RNAcentral also lists the same sequence under 1 other name. The record is from RNAcentral.